GUGCUCGCUUGGCAGCACAUAUACUAAAAUUGGAAUGAUACGGAGAGGAUUAGCAUGGCCCCUGCACAAGGAUGAAACGCAAAUUUGUGAAGGGUUCCGUAUUAAA
Small nuclear RNA from Panthera pardus (leopard), 106 nucleotides. The record is from Ensembl. Lineage: Eukaryota; Metazoa; Chordata; Mammalia; Carnivora; Felidae.